Non-coding RNA from Pelobates cultripes (western spadefoot toad), 602 nucleotides. The record is from the annotation of a GenBank genome assembly. Lineage: Eukaryota; Metazoa; Chordata; Amphibia; Anura; Pelobatidae.
AAUUAUCAAGCACACAAAAAAGAAACAAAUACUUUAAAAACACACACUGCUAUAAACAAUACAUUCAGGUAAGAAAUCUACUUAGCUCUAUUCAUGGAGAUUCAGCAGCUUACACAGGAUAAUUGAAUCAGCAUAACACACAGAACAAUGAGGUGAGUUCCUUGCCACAUGUUAAAUGGAUUUACAUGGGCACCUCUAAAGACACCUGGCUUCUUCCGACCCAGUCAUGAAACUGAAACUCUAGUUUCUGGAAACCCCUUGAAUAGCCUCCCAUCUGGUAUCCACCCACAGAGGUAACAUAACCAAUACCUAAUGGUCAUCUCUAGGAGGCGGAUACUACAUGUGGUCUUUUGUGAAAGGAAGUGACUUAAGAAUUCUCAAUACCUUCCUAAAGCACAUGUCUCAUUGACUAUGCGGCAGCCAUCUUUAUUCACUCGACGUCACAGUGCUCACUAGGCCACCUAUAGGUAACUUCCUCCCUAAAGCACAUGUCUCAUUAAAUAUGCAGCAGCCAUUUUCUUGCUCUUAAUGUCACAUAGCUCACUACACCCCCUAUAGGUAUCAUAAGUUAUUGCACAUGAAUGGGAACACAAUAAUAGAAC